UACGUAGGGGGCAAGCGUUGUCCGGAAUUAUUGGGCGUAAAGAGCGUGUAGGCGGUCCGGCAAGUCGGCUGUGAAAGUCCAGGGCUCAACCCUGGGAUGCCGGUCGAUACUGCCGGACUAGAGUUCGGAAGAGGCGAGUGGAAUUCCCGGUGUAGCGGUGAAAUGCGCAGAUAUCGGGAGGAACACCUAUGGCGAAGGCAGCUCGCUGGGACGUUACUGCCGCUGAGACGCGAAAGCGUGGGGAGCAAACAGG
RNAcentral lists this ribosomal RNA (253 nucleotides) under uncultured bacterium. Its description in RNAcentral is "partial 16S ribosomal RNA". It matches the Rfam family "Bacterial small subunit ribosomal RNA", at positions 524 to 776 of the family's 1533-position model. The record is from RNAcentral.